Molecule: non-coding RNA, 7893 nt
Organism: Pan troglodytes (chimpanzee)
Lineage: Eukaryota; Metazoa; Chordata; Mammalia; Primates; Hominidae
Source: the annotation of a RefSeq genome assembly
GGAAGUGAUGUCACUGUGGGAACCGCCCUGUGGAGACAAGGACGUCCCUCAUCCUCUGCUCCUGCUCAUAGUGACACUGACCUGGUAAAACCCCCGUCCUGGCCUGACCCUGCCAUGGGCACCAGGCUCCUCUGCUGGGUGGUCCUGGGUUUCCUAGGGACAGAUCACACAGGUGCUGGAGUCUCCCAGUCCCCAAGGUACAAAGUCGCAAAGAGGGGACGGGAUGUAGCUCUCAGGUGUGAUUCAAUUUCAGGUCAUGUAACCCUUUAUUGGUACCGACAGACCCUGGGGCAGGGCUCAGAGGUUCUGACUUACUUCCGGAGUGAUGCUCAACGAGACAAAUCAGGGCGGCCCAGUGGUCGGUUCUCUGCAGAGAGGCCUGAGAGAUCCGUCUCCACUCUGAAGAUCCAGCGCACAGAGCAGGGGGACUCAGCUGUGUAUCUCUGUGCCAGCAGCUUAGCCACAGCGUGGCACAGUCGCCUCCUUUCUGCUCACAAAUCUCAUCCUUCUCUCUCCUUGCAGCUCCUACAAACCCUUAACAGAGGCCUCUCUUUGCUCCUUACUUUUCAUGGGAAAAAGGUAGAUUUGGACCUCAGCUGUCCUUUGGGUAGAAAGAGACCGCAGAUUCAUUCCUGAAACACAGUGACUGCAAAUGUAGGUGGUGAAAACAAUCAUGGGAGUCCUCCGAGCCAGCUCACUGCUCCAAGCAAGGAGUCAGUGUCUUAGCCUUGGCCUUCAGGGCAGACAUGCAUCUUCUAUAGGUCUUGGAGGCUGCUGUGCUGCCCACAUCCAUGAGGUUGUCAUAGGCAGGAAACACGCCUCUUCUUCAUAUGUUGGAGCAUUUGGAAGGUCUGAGGCUACAUCCCCAGGAACAUCUUUCUUCUGAAGCCUGUUCUACCCCUGUCACCUUGAAAGUUUCUGCAACAAAAUAUCAAACAUCUCUUCCUAUAAAGUAAACGUCUUUGCAAAUUUGUGGUCCUUAUUAAUAAAUACAAUGGUGAUAACAAUAAGACUUCACUUCUUCUGCCUACUUUAAGCCACGUGUAUCCUUUAUUUUGUUUGCAUUUGCCAUUGCUACUGUCCUGAUAGACAGAAGCAUGCAUUCACCACCGCUGCCCGUUCACCUUGAUUCCCUCAGGAAAUCUAAUUUCUAGACUCUGAGGGUUUUCAUUGCUGUCAAACUCAUUUGAUUUGAAAUCAUUUUCCUGAGGCCUUUAACUCAAGAAGUGUUUUAUUUAUAAUAUUGAAUAUAUUUCUUUUUCUUUUAUUUUGCAUAUUAUAUUUUAUUAUAUAGUACUUGUUAUAAAUAGAAGUACAAUGAUUAUAUUGUAACAGAAUCUUCAACUCGUCUGUGGGUGCUGCUGCAGUUUGUAUCUAUGAAAGCGAAUGCACUGGUCAGAGCUGAUGUGAUUAUGGAUCAUGGGUUUCAGGGAGUCUUCGGCAUCAGACCACUUCUCCAAGUCUGGGACUCAGUGUCCCAGACGCAGCCAUGAUAGAGGUGCCCUGAGUCUUUCAUAGCUAGGAGGGGCAUCAUAGCCCUCCCAAAUUCUCUGAUCAGAAAUUGUGGUGGUACAGACACCAAAUUUCUUUCCCCAGAGAAUGAUGAUCUCUGGUAGGGAGCUGCUCUAGACCCAUUUUUUAUUGUGCCAUCAUCAAAUCAUUCCUUGCUCAGGUACCCUCUGUCUCCUGGGACUGAGUAAGGCCAGGGCACACAUGGGAAUUCCUUGUCUUCCUAGACCUUGUCUCUAACUGCUGCCACCUUCCUCCACGUGACUCCUGAGACACCUGCUCCUAACAGUGGACAAGCUCUGACACUGAGGCUGAACAGAACACAGUCCACAAUUGUAAACGGUGCUGCAACAAGAUGAAACAAAAGCAAUCAGGACUUCCAACUUAUACAGAGAAUGAACAUAGAAGAGUAGCAAAGGGCAGAUAUUACUAAUGAACAAAUAGGAAGGAAUCAGUUUCUGCUCUAAUGAAAUCAUUCUGUUGUCUUGAGUUAAGCAGGAUAAACAUUUCAUUGCAAUUACUUCAAGUCAAAUGUAGCAGCUCCACAACCAACCAGCAUAGCUAUCUGCUUUGUGAUCUUGGCAGCUACAAAGGACUCAGAAAUCCUUUCUCUGCACAAACAUCCCUUUGUCCAUUCCAAGACCCAGGAUCACACACUGAUCCUAUCAUGAAAACAAUGAGGUGUGCUAUAGUUGCUGUGGCCUCAUUUUUUGUGUGUUGAGUAGGAAGCACUGAAGAACUUUGAAAGCUUUGCUCUUGAGUCUAGGGAUGUGCUGGAGCCGGCUUGUAUGAGUCAGAAGAACCAAAUAGGCAUACUACUCUUCCCAGCUCCCAAGCAGUGAAGCCAUGUUGGCCACUUGAAAUCUACCAUGGUGGGUAUGCUGGUACAACUGAAAUUAGGAAAUGCUACCAGCCAUGCCCCCACCUUCACAGACACCCAGUUUAUCAGCACAUCCCUGGGGUAUUUUCUGAUGUCCCUGUUAUGCCAUGUCUUGUGGGGCCAAAAGGGCUCAGAAUUCACCUCCCCUCUACUCUUGUUCUUAGAAGCCAUCACCUAAGGGGGCCUCGAUUGUUCCUAUUUCUAUUCAACCUCCAGAUUCUCUUGCUCUGUAAUUCUGUGUCUCCUGCAAGCAUGCCAGUCUGGAACAUGACAACUAUUUUGAAUGUAACUAAAGGUAUCACUGAACCAGUUCAUUAUUUACAAAUUAUCUUUCCUCGCAUAGAAUAUUCAGAUGCUGGAGUCAUGGGCAACAGAGAUGGCCAAGUAGCAACUAUUCUUCUGUGGCAACGAGAGACCCUGUAAAAAGGACAAUUUUGCUUUGGAGACUAAGCAGCUCCACACCAGUCAGGAAUGACUCUGCUUUUACUUUAGGCUGAGAGGUCAGAAGGGUCAUGCCCUCAGUAUUCUCCUUUCCAAGACGGAGUAUGGCCACUCUCCAUCUCAGUCCCUGGAAGGUGUCCGGAGCUCCCUGAGAAUCCCUGCUCUGGGGCAGAAUCACCAAGGCUCAUCCUCGCCAGCUCCCCACAGGCUCCAGCAGGGCUUUCUUGCCAGGUGCAGGGCACAGGAAUGGCUCUGUCUGUCUCUUAGUUAGAGGGAGGCCAUGCAAUGAUGUUUGUAUAAGAGGGACUGGGAUUCUGGGUCUCCAUUAAAGUAUUUGAUAAUAUUUUCUUUGUUUUUUGUUUUAUUUUGCCAUCUCACCAAUUAGGAGAGCAAUCCCUUGGUAGUUAUAUUGUUUUUGCACUUGGUAAGGUUUUUGUGGUUAAGUCACAUUAAGAAAAUGUGCCUUUUUUUUCCUGUUCUGAUAUAAUCCAAGGUAGUGACAGAAACAGCAAUAAUUUUGAAAGCAGUCACUUAUGCAUCCUAUGAUAAAGGUGUUAAGUUACAUUGCCCUCAUCUAACUUUCAGUCUAGUGGAAAUGAAAAGGCACAGUUAGGGGGCAUGUGAGCAUGCCCUGAGAGAGGUCGAUGCCAAUUGAGAAGUCUGUGCCAAUCCCCAGUAUUGUGGGAUUGAAGGGUAUGGAGAGAUGACCUCUCCUUCAGAUCAUACUCAACAAGGAGGGAGUGGGAGUUCAUCCAUGGGAACCUGAGGAGAAGCAAAUACCAGGGUCAUCUAACUCAGGGUGCGGGAACAAAUCAUUGGAAAUGAAAAUGGUCCACUUCAGCUGUCACAGGAGAUGGGAGAAAGAAAAGUCAUACAUUCCACAGUCCCCCUGCUGAUUUGCUUCCUUAUGAUAGUAUUUUGCACCAGCGUGUCCUCAUCUCCCGCUGCUCCUCUGCCUGUUUCAGAAUCAUCUCUUCCCUCUUUGCUGCUCAGAUCAGUGGAUGUGCAUUGUACAAGCUGAUCAUUUCCUGUAGCAGCCCCUUUGCUGGUCUUACUUAUGUCCAUCCUUAUUUUGUGCAUUAGGUACUGCUCCCUCCACCAUUGCUUAUUUCCUUGUAAGAGGUCUCCUUUAUAUAUUUCAAUUUUACUUUUUAUUAAUAGACAUUUUUAACUUCAUCUUUUGCUUAUCUAUGCUUUUGGGGUAACACUGUCAUUUUUGGAGGGCAUUUUUGUUUAUCUUUAGUCAUUCAGAUUAAAUAAUCUCUUCAUACCUCAACGUCUGUGUUUUCUUACUAUUUAAAACCAAGUAUUAUUUCCUUUCAUUCCUCUCCUUCUGUUCCUCUUUCUUUAGAUGGUAGUUUUAAGGGAGAAAAAGUUAGACUAUAACUGGAGCUAUGUGAUAAGAGUUAUUCAGAAUGAGGGUGGGAUAUUAAGAUUGGUAACUCAAAGCAAUAGUCAGGGUUAGAAGUAGUGCUGGGAUGAGGGUUUAGGGAAGCUGGUCAUAAAACCUGCGGGAUGGCACUUCUGGAAUAUUCUGGCAGCUCGCUCUGUAGACACUUCUCAGCAUUCCUUGGGCCAUUGCAGAAGAAACAAUGAUGAAACUUCACUUAUUGGCCACAAGAUGGCACUGUGGUCCACUGGGAACUAAAGUACUCUGGGCAGUCUGGGAGAGCAGCCUAGGAGGGAAAGGGUUAAGAAAAAUUCGGGCUUGGAUCCCAUAUUAUGCAGAUGUUGCAGCAGUUUUCAGUUAUUGCUAGGCUACCCACAGCUAUGCAAGAGGCGAGAAGUCCCUCUAAUCUUUAAUGACAUCUACAGUUGAAGAAUGUUGGCUGGGCAGCCUUGGUGUCAGAGCAGGUGCAGACAGAGGAGCAACUGCCUCAGAGGAAAAGGCGAAAGCAAGGGGCCGGCUGUGCCCUGAAUCCAGUCCAUCUCUGCUGCACCUCAUCUUCCCUGCAUGUCUCGCCAGGCAACAGCUUUAACCUCCUUGAGUGAUCAGGGAUUCUGCAAGUUUAUAAGUCGUACUGAUAACAUCACCUUGGCUUAGAUUCCAUUGGAUACCAAGCACGUGUUCUCUGGAGGGCAAAAAAUAUUGACAACAAUUUCUAAAACACCUAAGUAAACAAACUACAGAAGGAAAAUAUUAGUAGAUGCACCAAACAGUGCCGUUAGACCUGAAGAUAAUCGACGAGUAGAAUUAUCAAAAGGAGACUAUAAAUAAGUCUCUACUAAGUAUUUGUGGGCAUCGAGCAGUGUUUGAGUCCUCUCAGGGUAGAUUAAGGAAGGAAUUCAGCUAUUAUCAUGACUUUGGCUUGGAUGAAAAUUCAUGAACUCCCCAAUUGAUUUUCUUGUAAAGUAUUACAGAAUAAUAUUGAGCAAACAUUUUAUUUUUCUCCAGCCUGUAUCCCUCCUUAGCACUAACAGGUAAAGCGAAUACCUAGAGGCAAGGUUUCUUUAGUUGGGAUCCAUUAACUGCAGGACUGGGAGGUCCAUAGCUAGGCUUCACAGGGAGUGCAAACCCCACGGGCAGGGAACCCCAUGUGUCUGUGCUGUGCCCAACUCCCCUCUGUGAGGCUGCCAAAGGGGGACUGCCGGGUCUCCCAGGACCCCACUCAUAAAGAGGGGAGCAAGCUGCUUGCUGGGCAAAAAAAUCACUUCACCAAUUGGCCAAUCUGUUGAAAGCCAGAAAGAAAAGAAACGUUCAAUUGUGAGACUGAUGAAUGCCCAAUUUCCCAAGUUAUAAAAUGUAUAGCAGCUCAUGGUUCUCAGAAUGAUUUCAACAGCAUAUGAAGAUAUUUUUAGAAAGUUUUUGUUUUUCUAAAGCAUUCCUUGAUAUUGAUCCUCACUUGUUUUUCAGCCCACUCAUCCAUUGAGCUUAAUUUGAUGCCAAAUUUCAGUGUUGCCUAUUUCAGUCACUGACCACUUCUCACAUUCUCCAUAUCUUACACAGAUGCAUGUGUUCCUGUCUUUUCUUCUUUUUGUGUGAUGCAUUUUUAAAUUGGGCUGUACAGAAUACAAGCAUACAUUUGUAAAUGACUGCCAUCUUUUAUGCAGUUUAGCUGUUUAAUUUUUAGUAACACUUUUUAUUAAGGUAUAAUUAAUAGAGAGUAAAACACAAAUAUUAAUACAAAAACAUCCUGGUACAUUUUGACAAUUGUAUACACCAGUGCAACAGUAACUGAAAUGAUUAUAAAAAAAAUUUCCAUCACUCAAGAAAGUGUCCUCAUGCUCCUUUCCAAUCAAUUUCUAUCCCAGAGAUAAAAACUUUUCUGUUUUUAUCACCAUUGACUAGCUUUGUCUAUUCUUCAGCUUCAUAUAAAUGGAAUCAUAUUUUAUUAGUUAUUUUUCUCCAAAAUUAGUAUUUCUGAAGUGUAUUCAUAUUGUUGUAUCAGUAGGUCAUUCUUUCUUAUGACUAAUAUUCCAUUGCAUAAAUACACCACAAAUUUUUUGUGCAUUCUCUUGUUGAUGGAUAUCCAUGUUAUUCCUGUCUUCAACUAUUAUGAAUAAAGUUGUUGUGAACAUUCUUGUGGAAUUCUUUCUUUUGGACAUAUGCAUUCUUUUUUCUUCUUUUAAAACCUACACUUAAGAGUGGAAAUACUGACUCAUAGUGUAGAUGUGUGUGCUAUGCUUGCGUGUCCCCACAAAAGCUCAUGUUGAAAUUUGUCAGUGUAAUGGUAUUGGGAAGUGGGACAGCUAUGACUAGGUCAUGAGGGAUCUGCCCUCAGAAAGAAAUCAAUGCCCUUAUUGGGGGAGUGACUUAGUUUUCCUGGGAAUGGUCUUCCAAUAAAAAGGAUGAAUUCAGCUGUUUUCUCUGUCUUAAGUGCUUGCUUCACCUUCCUUCUGCCUUGGAUAACAGCAGGAGGACCUCACCAGCUGUGGCCCUUUGAUCUUGGACUUCCCAGUCUCCACAUCUAUAAGCCAAAUAAACCUCUUGUCUUUAUACAUUGCCCAGUCCAUGGUAUUUCUCUAUAGCAGUAGGAAAGAAAUUGAAAGAAAAUAUGGCACCAUGAGGCUGUUGUUAUAAUACCUGAAAAUGUAGAAGCAGCUUUGGUUAAUGGGAAGUGGCUAAUGGAUAGAGGUUGAAAGAAUUGGGAGGAGCAGACUAGCAAAAGCCUAGACUCCUGAAAACAGAGCAUUAAGGGCAAUUCUGGUGAAGUCUCAGGGGGAAAUGAGGGACAAGCUAUCUGAAAUUGAAGCAAAUACCAUCCUUGUUAUAAAUAGCAAAAACCUUGGCAAAAUUGUGUCCUGUUCUAGGACUUUAUGGAAUAUAAAAUUAUGAGCCAUUCACUAGGAUAUCAACUGAAAGAAAUAUCUAAGCGGCAAAGCAUUCAGGCUACUGUGUGACUACUUUCGGGCACCAGGAAAUUUCACCCAGCAAGAAGGGAGCCAUGGCAAUAGAUUUUGCAAACCAGCACAGAUGGUGACCCUACCUCCCUCUGCUGUCCCGUCUCCAAUAAGACAAACCCUGUGCUGUGAGCUCUUAAAAUCCUAGAAUUAUUUCUGGGGAAUCUAUACUCUUAAUAAUUUAUAGACAACCCAGGUCUGCUUUGGAUCUGAUCAGACGGACUAAAUCUUGGGGACUCUGCACCACUGGCCACUGAAGAAAGGGGCUGGGAAUGUUGACUGGGACAGGAAAAUAUAAUAAGAAACAUUGGUGUGAAUCUAGCAUCAGAAAGAUGAUGUGAGGACAACAAGGAAGAGCUGGAAUGUGAGAGUUUAAUCACAGGCUCCUCACCCUCCGCUGAUGGGUAGGUGUGUUAGCUCCAGCAUGGAGCACCACCGCACUAGGUGGGGGAAGGGUGAGAGGGCGAUGGGGCAGCCUGUGAGCUGGGGCAAUGUAGGCAGAGGAGCAACUGUGUCACCACAGAAACUUCUGCCUUCACCCAUCCCUCCAGCUCUGCAGGACAGGUGGAGACUCCAGGAUCAUCCACUGAGCACUGGACAUAAGGAAGGCUGCAUGGGGAGGACUCAGGACAGUGACAUCACAGGAUACACCUCCCAUUAGGAAAAUCAAGGCGCAGAACUCACUCGGCUCUUCCCCAGGAGGACCAAGCCCUGAAUCAGGU